Molecule: long non-coding RNA, 729 nt
Organism: Hermetia illucens (black soldier fly)
Lineage: Eukaryota; Metazoa; Arthropoda; Insecta; Diptera; Stratiomyidae
Exons: 3
Source: RefSeq, a predicted model, not a curated record
GCCGAAUAAACGGAAUUGAAUUGUCGUGAGAAACAUAGGCGCGGUUGCUUCAUACAAUACGUUGCUAGACAUUAUAAACUGCUAUCAAAUUUAUUUGUGGCUCCCAAUAUACACUUGUGUCAACGAGGCGCAGGGAGAUGAAGCCCCAUGGGCGUGGACGGCAGUUCAGGCCACUAAGAAGAUGGCGAUUCAAAUAUGAGAGACGUUUACACGGAAGUGUACAGGGUAAAUUCAUGAUGUUAGGUCGGUCAGGAAAUAAGAUAUUAGAAUUGAGUUAAAGAAAAGAAUGGAUAGUACUGCGUGAAAAGCAGAACGAGACGUUGCAAUUUAAACAAUUUGUUUGGGAAGAAAUAUAAUAAUAUAUAUACGGUAGACGCUCUAUAUGCCCUUCCAAUCAAGUAAACAUAUCCGGAACAAAGUUUGGUAUUCGUGAGCCCGUGCAAACUCGUGCAUGGUGAAGACUUUUUGAUUAAAAUGAACUUUGUUCAACCUUGCUUGCAAUUGAUUCACCAACAUGUUCUAAAUUUGAUACGAAAAUUGAAAAAUUAGUUAUGUAAAAUGAGUUGCAGGAUUCAAUGGAAAUUAUGCAAUAAGCUCGCAGAUUUCGGGUCAAUGUAGAUGCUUGUAAUACAAUACAAUGCGGGAAAAAUAAAAAUAGCCCUUGCUUCAUAUAUAAGAGGGUUACAGGCAAUUGCGGUGGCACGUAUGCGUAACACCUUCCAAGUAACA